This 73-nucleotide small RNA is filed under the name Arabidopsis thaliana (thale cress). Its description in RNAcentral is "ATSL193140". The record is from RNAcentral. Lineage: Eukaryota; Viridiplantae; Streptophyta; Magnoliopsida; Brassicales; Brassicaceae.
UUUUUUUUGUAUUUUUGAACAUUUGAAGAUCUCCUGACAUUUUUUCGCAAUUGUUUUUCUCAAAAUUUUCUUU